GGUUGCGAUCAUACCAGCACUAAUGCACCGGAUCCUAUCAGAACUCCGCAGUUAAGCGUGCUUGGGCGAGAGUAGUACUAGGAUGGGUGACCCCCUGGGAAGUCCUCGUGUUGCAACCCC
This 120-nucleotide ribosomal RNA is filed under the name Helianthus annuus (common sunflower). The record is from RNAcentral. Lineage: Eukaryota; Viridiplantae; Streptophyta; Magnoliopsida; Asterales; Asteraceae. RNAcentral also lists the same sequence under 1 other name.